Molecule: ribosomal RNA, 927 nt
Filed under: Salmonella enterica
Lineage: Bacteria; Pseudomonadati; Pseudomonadota; Gammaproteobacteria; Enterobacterales; Enterobacteriaceae
Also listed under: 1 other name
Description: partial 23S ribosomal RNA
Rfam family: Bacterial large subunit ribosomal RNA
Source: RNAcentral
AGACCCGAAACCCGGUGAUCUAGCCAUGGGCAGGUUGAAGGUUGGGUAACACUAACUGGAGGACCGAACCGACUAAUGUUGAAAAAUUAGCGGAUGACCUGUGGCUGGGGGUGAAAGGCCAAUCAAACCGGGAGAUAGCUGGUUCUCCCCGAAAGCUAUUUAGGUAGCGCCUCGUGAAUUCAUCUCCGGGGGUAGAGCACUGUUUCGGCUAGGGGGCCAUCCCGGCUUACCAACCCGAUGCAAACUGCGAAUACCGGAGAAUGUUAUCACGGGAGACACACGGCGGGUGCUAACGUCCGUCGUGAAGAGGGAAACAACCCAGACCGCCAGCUAAGGUCCCAAAGUCAUGGUUAAGUGGGAAACGAUGUGGGAAGGCCCAGACAGCCAGGAUGUUGGCUUAGAAGCAGCCAUCAUUUAAAGAAAGCGUAAUAGCUCACUGGUCGAGUCGGCCUGCGCGGAAGAUGUAACGGGGCUAAACCAUGCACCGAAGCUGCGGCAGCGAACGUAUCACCCAAGACAACUUUACGGAGUUGACGAUUGACGGAGCGAAGCGACGUCAAAGCGUUCAUUAAAGUCGAGUUGGCUUAGGGAUACGUUCGUUGGGUAGGGGAGCGUUCUGUAAGCCUGUGAAGGUGUGUCGUGAGGCAUGCUGGAGGUAUCAGAAGUGCGAAUGCUGACAUAAGUAACGAUAAAGCGGGUGAAAAGCCCGCUCGCCGGAAGACCAAGGGUUCCUGUCCAACGUUAAUCGGGGCAGGGUGAGUCGACCCCUAAGGCGAGGCCGAAAGGCGUAGUCGAUGGGAAACGGGUUAAUAUUCCCGUACUUGGUGUUACUGCGAAGGGGGGACGGAGAAGGCUAUGUUGGCCGGGCGACGGUUGUCCCGGUUUAAGCGUGUAGGCUGGUUUUCCAGGCAAAUCCGGAAAAUCAAG